This 479-nucleotide ribosomal RNA is filed under the name uncultured bacterium. RNAcentral's name for it is "bacterial SSU rRNA". It matches the Rfam family "Bacterial small subunit ribosomal RNA", at positions 38 to 507 of the family's 1533-position model. The record is from RNAcentral.
GGCGGCAGGCCUAACACAUGCAAGUCGAGCGGUAACAUUUCUAGCUUGCUAGAAGAUGACGAGCGGCGGACGGGUGAGUAACGCGUAGAAAUCUACCUAGUAGUGGGGGAUAGCCCAGAGAAAUUUGGAUUAAUACCGCAUACGCCCUACGGGGGAAAGCGGGGGAUCUUCGGACCUCGUGCUAUUAGAUGAGUCUGCGUCGGAUUAGCUUGUUGGUGAGGUAAUGGCUCACCAAGGCGACGAUCCGUAGCUGGUCUGAGAGGAUGACCAGCCACACUGGAACUGAGACACGGUCCAGACUCCUACGGGAGGCAGCAGUGGGGGAAUAUUGCACAAUGGGCGCAAGCCUGAUGCAGCCAUGCCGCGUGUGUGAAGAAGGCCUGCGGGUUGUAAAGCACUUUCAGUGGGGAGGAAGAUAUCACGGUUAAGAGCUAUGGUAUUUGACGUUACCCACAGAAGAAGCACCGGCUAACUCUGUG